Long non-coding RNA from Pan troglodytes (chimpanzee), 10125 nucleotides. RefSeq lists it as uncharacterized. Lineage: Eukaryota; Metazoa; Chordata; Mammalia; Primates; Hominidae. The record is from RefSeq and is a predicted model, not a curated record. The transcript has 6 exons.
GCAGUGCUGCGCGAGCCUUAGCCGCGCAGGCUCAGUGAAGGGAGGAUGGCGGAUCUGCUACCUUUUGCGGUUCCCACCAAGAGUGACAAAACCUUGCUAGUGUGGGAGCUGAGCUCUGGACCCACGGCCGACGCUUUGCAUGCUGUUUCUCUUGGAGGUGGUGCAGGAGGUUGAGGAAAGCACCUCUGAUGAGCAGAUAGCUGGAGGCUGUUCCCACAGUCAUGUCUCAGCGAAGAAGUCGGAGUCCAGCAGCCAUCAGAACCAAGGGAUUCAACUUGGUGUCAUCUUCAAAGAGAGAAGACAGAAGGAGCGAGAUUAGUGGAAUCAUUACAGCCUUUGUCACUCUGAGUCCAGAUGGGAUGAAAGUUCAGCCCAAACUUUCAUUUUAGAGAGAGAGGGUCUUGCUCCGUCACACAGGCUGGAGUGCAGUGGUACAAUCACAGUUCACUACAGCCCCGACCUCCUGAACUCAAGUGAUCCUCCCACCUCAGCCUCCCGAGUAGCUGCGUCUGGCUAAUUAAAAAAGAUUUUUUUGAGAUGAGGUCUCACUGUGUUGCCCAGGCUGGUCUCCAACUCGUGGGCUCAAGCAAUCUUCUUACCUCAGCCUCUCAGAGCACUGGGAUUACAGGCGAGAGCCACCUCACCUGGCCUAACAAGGACCUCCAAGGAAGAGGAAGCAGGGGUAAAGAGAGGCAAGAAAUGCCACUGAAGACCGGGCAUGGUGGCUCAUGCCUGUAAUUCCAACACUGGAUAUGGUGGCUCACGCCUGAAAUCCCAGCACCAGGCGUGGUGGCUCACACCUGUAAUCCCAGCACUUUGGGAGGCCGAGGUGGGUGGAUCACUUGAGGUCAGGAGUUCAAAACCAGCCUGGCCGACAGAGUGAAACCCUAUUUCUAUCAAAAAUACAAAAAUUAGCCGGGCAUGGUGGCGGGUGCCUGUAAUCCCAGCUACUUGGGAGGCUGAGGCAGGAGAAUCACUUGAACCUGGGAGAUAGAGAUUGCAGUGAGCCGAGAUCACACCACUGCACUCUAGCCUGGGCAACAGAGUGAGACUGUCUCAAAAAAAAAAAAAAAAAAAAAAAAGAAGAAGAAGAAAAAGAAGAAAUGCCACUGAGGCAGGGAGAAGGCCAUGGCUUCAGCAGGAAGCUGGGGGCACCACAAGAUGGGAGAGGAAAUGAAGACCUUCAUAAAACAACAAGAAGGAAGAUGCUGUCCUCCUUCCCGCAGUCUCAGCUGUCCCAGCCCCAUCCCGAGGAGCAUCCACCGCGGAUCCUGUGGGCUCCACAACAGCAGGUGGCUGCCUUCAGCAUGGGUGAGUGGGGUGCAGAGGGCCAGGGUCCCAUGGUUUAUGGAGGCCACCUGCUAAAUCCCUCCAUUGCCUCCUGCCUGUGGACCGCAGCAUCACCUCCUCUAAGGAGAAUACAAUGACAAACUGAGGCCCAUCUAGUUCCUGGAUCACCUUUUCUGGGGGCUCAGUCUAGGCGUUCUCAGAGGUACAGCUUUCCCGGGUUUCAGUUAUGUGGGAAUAACAAUAGCUGUCCUAGAUCAAGCCCUAACCCCCACCCCAAACCCAGAAUGGACCCAUCAGUGUCAGAGCUGCGGCUGAUGUGCUCAACUCCACCUAGGUGGUUCUCACCCUUACCCUAUCUCUGGGAGGGAGGUGGCAUCAGGCUCGGGUUACAAAAGAGAAAUGGAGGGCCCUGAAAAGUUAGGUGGCUGCACAAAACAGGAGUCAGUCAUGGGCCUGGGACGUGAAGCCAGUCUGCUUGACUCCAGAGCUCUUUCCGGGAUGGUGGAAUGACCCCUACUCACUCGGCAAUGGGGUGAACUCCACGGCCGACAUGCUGGUGACCUUGCUGGGGUCCAGCUCUAUGCGGUGGUAUUCAAAGAUGCUCCUUCGCCGAGAUUCUGAAACAGAGGCAGAGCCUGUUGUCAGGAGCAUAUCACAGGCAGAGGGCAUCGAGGCCUCUUCCCGGACAGUCUGACAGGUCAGCCUGCUGCACUGAAGGCAGUAAGUGCACCCAGCAGCCUGGGACAAUGAUGUUGGCGCUGCUGGAGACAGGGACAGGUGCGGACCUGGAGAGGAGAGUGUUGUGGUGUGAGGCUAAGUGACUCAACGCAGAGUCCUGGCUGCUCUUGGGGGCAGGACAAAUGGGAUCCCAUGCUUGCUUCUCCUUGCCUCUGUGCCUUCACAACUGCUAUUCCCCUGACCCAAGAUGUUCUUCCACCCCUUCUUCCUGUCUAGCUCAUCCUUGCAGAUCUAGCUCAAGGGCCACUUCCCCUGAGCAGCCCUCCUUGGCCAGCUCCCUCCUCUGCCUGGCUCAGGCCAGGUGCCCCCCUCCCACUGCACUCACCACACUAUGUGGACAUGAGGGUCUAUUUGGAGGCUGGGGAUGUGUGAGACCAUGAUCAUCUGGUCCUGAACCUCGCUGAGUGCUCUGUGAAUGUCUGCAGAUGGACAGGCUGACUUUUGCAUGUUGCUGUCCACCAUCCACCUCACCCCUCCUGGACAAAUCCCCCAGCAAGGCUCAGGGCUUGCAGCCAGGCUCAAGUCCUACUUUGGUCCCUGCAGAAACUUCUCACAGGACCUCAGAGUCAGGAGAUCCAAGUUCGUUCUAGUUCUGCUCACGACUUGCUGGAUAACCUCAGGCAAGUCAUUUGGACCUCAGUUUCUUGUCUGUGGAGUGGAAAGACAGAAACACCUACCACAACACCCUUGGGAGGAAAAAGCUGGAACUGUAGAUGAAAGCCUUCUUUUUUAAAAUGACAAUCUGAGGUGCUCUGAUACUUCUCUCUAGGCCACGAUACCCACCCAGGAACCAUGACUUGGGGUUGGUUUUCUUCAAUUUUGAAAGGCAGGCAGCCCAGCCAGGCAUGGUGGCUCAUGCCUGUAAUCCCAGCACUUUGGGAGGCCGAGGCAGGUGGAUCACUUGAGGUCAGGAGUUCGAGACCAGCCUGGCCAACAGGGUUUUUAGUAGAAACCCUGUCUCUACUAAAAAUACAAAAAUUAGCUGGGUGUGGUGGUACACGCCUGUAAUCCCAGCUACUUGAGAGGCUGAGGCAGGAGAAUCGCUUGAACCUGGGAGGCAGAGGUUGCAGUCAGCUGAGAUUGUGCCACUGCACUCCAGCCUGGGUGACAAGAGCAAGACUGAAAAAAAAAAAAAAAGAGAGAGAGAAAAAGAAAGAAAGAAAGAAAGAGAAAAAGAAUAGAAAGAAAAGAAAGAACAGAAAGAAAGAAAAGAAAGAAAAAAGAAUAAGAAGCAGACAGCCAGGAAUUGAGCUUUGAGAAUGAGUUACCCCACAAGAGGAAAGAACCACUCAGUGUUUGGUCCGCCCAACACCCUUUCGUCUUCUGGAAACAGCAGCAUUCCCCUUGGGGUACUGUGCCUGGCCCAUUCCUACAGGUGGACUGAACCACAGCUGCCGUCUUCUUCCAUGAUCCUGCCUCUCUGGCCACGCUGUGAUUGUUCCAGGCCUGGGUAUCGGCUGUGAGCUGGACCAAUCAGAGACCUCCCCUGGGACUUUUCAACUGUAACCAAGAGGCCUUUUGCUGUCUGGUAAUGAAGCUGAGAAGAUGCAGGCUCAGAGCCUGUGAAUGGCCACAGUACCGGGCUCAUGGGGAAAGGCAGAGAAUGAAACCACCUCAUGGAGAGAAACAGGAAGUGCUGGACGGCAUAUUUCUUGUCAGCAAGUCUGAUGGGUCCCCCAGUUCCCCGCUGCUGUGGAGAGAGAGGAGGCCCACAGAGGCGGCCUGACCGCGGUACUGUGCUGGCACUCCAGACGCCCUGUUCCCACCCGUCAUCCUGCAGGCCUCUCCUCUCUUCUGCUGCCCCCACAGUCCAGGCUGCCUGCUUCUCCUGCUGUGGAUGCCACUGCCCCCACCCUAGCUUCCCCUUGUUUCUUCCUGAUUACUGUUUCUUGCUUUUACCACCACUGGAGAAUGAGGUCAUGGGAGCAGUGGGGGACGGCAGUGCUCAGGUGGUGAAUGGACUGGGGACCCUGGAGACUGAGGUGAAUUUCCCACGCCCCCUCUGAGGGCUGCUCAGAGAGUACUUAUCUUGGAAUCCAUCUCCCCGCAACACACACCCACUGACUCCCAUGGGGAGAGGCGGUGGAGAGGACUUUAGCCUUGGUCUUCCUUUCCUACCAGGAGGAUGACAGCUCUAGCCCUGCAGCUCCUUCCUUCGCCCGACUCCUGCACUGGAGCCGGAUGGUUUAGAAUGAGAUCCAGGCCUCCUCCCACGUCUCCCUCCCUUCCUUCCAUCCCAGGCAGAUCAGGGAACUUGCUCCUCCUCAGGAAAGCAGCUGGACAGAGUGGGUGGGAUGAGGAGUCCAGGUGGUCCCCAAGGCGAGCACUGCGCAGGUGUGGGCUUUAUGAGAGAGGAGAUGAGCUACAGCUGCAGAGACUCAGACAUAUCAGGUUGAGAGAGCAAGGGAGUUAAGAAGUCAAGUUGGCUGUACACCUGUAAUCUCAGCAUUUUGGGAGGCCGAGGCAGGUGGAUCACUUGAGGUCAGGAGUUUGCAACCAGUCUGGCCAACAUGGUGAAACCCCGUCUCUACUAAAAAUUUAAAAAAUUAGCCAGGCGUGGUGGUGAGCACCUGUAAUCCCAGCUACUUGGGAGGCUAAGGCGGGAGAAUUGCUUGAACCCGGGAGGUGGAGGCUGCAGUGAGCUGAGAUUGCACCACUGCACUCCAGCCUGGGCAACAGAGUGAGACUCUAUCUCAAAAAAAAAAAAAAAAUCAAGUUGUCUUGCCAUUCAUUCAUAAGUGGGGAAACUGAGGUUCAGACAGAUUAACCCAUAGACGGAUACAACUUUGUAUAGCACUUUACUUUUUCAUUUAUUUAUUUAUUUAGAGACAGGGUCUCGCUCUGUCACCCAGGCUGGAGUGUAAUGGCGCAAUCACAGUUCACUGCAGCCUUGACCUCCCAGGCUCAGUAAUCCUGCCUCAGCCUCCCAAGUAGCUGGUAUUACAGGCACACCCCAUCAUGCCUGGCUAAUUUUUGUAUUUUUAGUAGAGAUGGGUCUCCCUGUACUACCCAGGCUGGUCUCCAACUCCCGGGCUCAAGCAAUCUGCCUGCCUCGGCCUCCCAAAGUGCUGAGGUUCUAGACAUGAGCCACCACACAGGCCACAUCUCUUUACAAUUUACCAAGCCUAGCCAUUAAGUAGACGGAAAACAUCUACUUAAACGAGAAAACUACAAGAGCACAGCGCCACCAUGCAGCACAUUUGUUGACUCCUUCAGCAUGUUGGUGCAGACACCUGCUCUGUGCAGGGGCUGUGCUGAGUGCAGAGCACUCCGUGAGCUCGCAGCCUUGCAGGUUCCCUGGAGCUGCACCAUCUCAUUUCCCCUUACAACUUCCUGAGGUGCACAGACAGACAUCGCUGCUCUCCCCACUUUACAAAGGAGAAAAGUGAGAUCGGAGAGGGGACGUUAUUUGCCCAAAGCCACACAGUCUUUGUUUUAAAAUCAGAGGCUAGACUUUUAAAAAACCUCAGGGCUGGAAGCCACUGUGGCUCCAGAAAGUCACCAAAGUUGUGAGUGCAGAUAAAUAUUUAACAACUGCCUGGGGGCUGGGGUGCAGGUAGGGGCAGAGGAGUCCUGAAUUGCUGUUGUUGCCAAUUUCUGUGGUGUAAAUACUUCCACGGUAGCUGACUUCCAGCUACCCUUUCAAAAAAGUUACUGAACAUGGAGUUAGGAAGAGACAUGUUCAGUUGCCUCUAACCCAGCUGCAUACAUGAUCUCCAGCACACCCCUGCUGAGAGCUUCCUGAUUUGUGUUUCUAAAAGAGUCAAAGGGAAACAUUUACAUUUCUUUCUUUUUUGUUUUGUUUUGUUUUGUUCGAGACAGGGUCUCACUCUGUUGCCAGGCUGGAGUGCCGUGGUGCAAUCACGGCUCACUGCAGCCUUGGCUUCGUGGGCUCAAGUGAUUCUCCCACUUCAGUCCCUGCCCCCAGCUCCACCUCCCCCACCAAAGGCUCAUGCCCUGGUAAUUUUUUUUUAUUCUUUGGUAGAGACAGGGUCUCCCUAUGUUGCCCAGGCUGGUCCCAAACUCCUGGCCUCAAGCAAUCCUCCCGCCUCCAAUUCCCAAAGUGCUGGGGUUACAGGCGCGAGCCACUGCGUCAGGCCACAUCUCUUUACAAUUUACCGAGCCCAGUUGUUUAUUUAAAAAUAAAAAAAUUUAUUUAAAAAUUACGGGCACAGUGGCUCAUGCCUGUAAUCCCAGCACUUUGGGAGGUCAAAGUGGGCGGGUCACCUGAGGUCAGGAGUUUGAGACCAGCCUGGCCAACAUGGUGAAACCUCAUCUCUAUAAAAAUACAAAAAUUAGCCAGGCAUGGUGGCACGCGCCUGUAAUCCCAGCUACCCGGGUGGCUGAGGUAGGGGAAUCGCUGGAACCCGGGAGGCAGAGGCUGCAGUGAGCCGAAAUUGCACUAUUGCACUCCAGCCUGGGCGACAGAGAAAGACUCCGUCUUAAAAAAUAUAUAUAUAUAUACACACACACACACACAUAUAAUUAAGCCAAAAUCCAAAAGAUGGAAUGACUGUGUGUUUGUCUCCUAAAGAACCCUAAGUCUGAGACAGGAGACCCCGUGGCAAGCCUCGUGAAUAUCAGGCAGUAACUGCCAGGUGUCUACAGAGUCACUGUGGCUCUAAGAGGAGGGAACCCUCCAUGGAAAGCUGAGGUGGCGAGGGGUCCACAGAGCCCCGCACACGCAUGUGCACACCCCAGCCCUCCAAGACACACACACACCUGCACAUGAGCACAUACUCAUAUGCACACACAUAUGCGACCCUUUGACACAAGAAAGACCCUUUGCCAAGCCCGAGUGGGAUCUGACAGAGAUUGGAGGAUGGGCACCUUUUUGUAAUUCACAUGCCCAGAGGUGGCACCAAGGCCACCUGUGCUGCAGGUGCCCCUGAGUGAUGCCAAUGGCUAUGAGAAGGUGGCCUGGGCUCUGAGUAAGCCUGGGGGCCUGGGAAUAUCUAGAUGAGGAUGGAAAGUUUGAAGCAGACUUUCACACACCAUCCCCACUCAUUACUCCCAGGGGCCAUCUCUCCUUCCCCUUCAGCACCAAAAUGCAAUGGGAUCAAAAAUAAACAUGAAACUCCAAGUCUCCCAUGUCCUGACUUCCAGGGUGCCUGAGGCCAUAGGUUCUAGAGUCCAAUGUCAACCUUUCUUGCUUCAACUGCCUCAUACUUCAAGACUCAGCUCAAAUGACGUCCCCUCCUUGAAGACUUCCCCCACUCUCAGGCAAAGUGACUGCCCCCCGACCCAGCCCCACUCUGAGUCUACAACUCCCUGAGCAAUGUCCAGUGUCCCCCAUUACAUCGCUUGGUCAAUAUCUGCUCUCCUGGCCACUCCCGCAGCCAGACCACAAGCUCCGCUAAGACAGAGUCUGCAUGGAAUUUAUCUCUGUACCUCAUCCCCUAGCACCAGGCCUUGCACUUAACAGGACCUUAAGAAAUGACUGUGAGUGAAUGAAUGGGUUACAAAUAGUCAUGAAAACCUCAGCAACUUAUAACGUCAGCCCACAGCCCAAAGGAAGCACGCCCUUCCUCCCCAGCCCACCACAAAUUACUGCCAUUCUCAAAAGGACAACCCUGAAAGACCACAGUAAACCAGAUAUGCCCCCUCCUAAGCUAGAGCCCAAAGCGGGAGGAGAGCUGGCUUUCAGGAUUUCUCCACCUGCAAGGCUGCAGGGCAGAGCUUUCCCUCAUCAGAAGGAAGGGGAAAUGGGAGGGACAAAGGGACUCAGGGUGGGGCACGGAUAGAGACUCGGACUUUUCAAGGGAACUGAGUUCGAGGAUAGAGACACAAGUGGCAGCCAGGGAAGGCAAGUCUCCUAGGAACCUCACACCAGGCUCUAGGGAUGGGUUUCCCCACCAUCCAGGCUGGGGGGUAGAGUUGGGGAUGUGCCCCAAGCAUGGGUGCAGCCAGGGACGCCAGCUGUCCUCUGAAAAUACAGUCCUUCCAGCGGAGUCGGGGAGGCUGAGUGGUGGCAGAAAGGGGGAUGAGGGUGGGGGGUGGAACUAUAUCUCUAAUUGAAACUAUUUGCUCACUUCAACUGCCAGCUUGUACUUGUUCGAGUGUGGGUUUGGUGAUAUUUUUAUUUUUUUAAUAAAAGAAUCCUUACGCCCCCCCCCCCACCUGGGUUAUUUGUUUUGGAUUGUUUCACCAACAUCUGGAGCUUGCCCAAGACAAUGACUUCCAUCUCCAUGACCAACAGAUCCUUUCUGGAACCAAGACGCAGGCUGCCCCAGAGCACCAUUUCUGGCAGUUUAAGGCGUUCUGUUUUAUCUCUGCUUCCAGGCAUCAAAGAUUCAGAAAUACUCAGGUCCAGACUUGGCAAACACUGCUGCCCAAACAAGAAAUGUUUUUGUUUUUUGUCUUUUUUUUUGGGGGGGGGGGGGGUUGUGUUUUGUUUUUGUUUUUGUUUUUGAGACAGGGUCUUGCUCUGUCGCCCAGGCUGGAGUGCAGUGGCACAAUAUCAGCUCACUGCAGCCUCCACCUCCCGGGUUCAAGCAAUUCUCCUGCCUCAGCCUCCCGAGGAGCUGGGAUUACAGGUGCCCGCCACCACACCUGGCUGAUUUCUGUAUUUUUAGUAGAGACGGGUUUCACCAUCUUGGCCAGGCUGGUCUCAAACUCCUGGCCUCAAACGAUCCACCCACCUCAGCCUCUCAAAGUGCUGGGAUUACAGGCGUAGCCACCAUGCCUGGCCCCAAACAAGUAAUGUUAAUGGUUCAAGUGAGAGGUUUGCAUGUCCCUUUGUGUUUCAAUGCCAGAUGCCCAUGGGAGAGUGCUGGCUUGGCCAGAAGAAGUUAGGAGAUGACAGGUCGAUCCACAAACUCCCACCUGGAAUGGGUGGUUACCGUAUAAAAAAAUCUAAGAGGUUGGGUUGGGAAAAAGUCUUCAUGCAUUCUUUUGUUCCUUGGCUCAUGUGAUUAUUCAUUCAAUAAUCACGAGUGGAGCCCCAGCAGGGGACCCUGCCCCACGGGGGAGAAGUAGGGGGGUCCCUCAGCAUUGAAGCAAAGCAGAAAAAGGUAGAGAAAGAAGAGGCCAGAAAUGACUCAGGGAGCAGAGUAGUGGGAAAAACAGAAGUGAGAAGGGAAAAGAGGGAAGGAUGGGCCCCCAGAUGGAUUAAAAACUUCCAACGAAGGGCACUUUAAAGGAUCCUUUAUCAGAAAAGGCAAAAUCGGCCAGAUCCUCAGCUUCUCCCUGCACCCACUUCCUCACGUGGCUGCCCCUAGAUCCCUUCUGUAGCCAGCUCUGGGACCCACCCCUCCCUUACCUGCAGCCUGGCAGGAAGGUACACACAGCUCAGGCCCUGACAUAUAUCUGGACUCAAGUCUGCCUCGGAAAGGACAGGAAAGUUCCGGUAAAGGAGGAAGACCAGCAUGUUGGGGCCAUCCGAGGCCAUUCGGGGCCAGCCAAGGGGCAGGCUACAUUCUGGAGCUCUUUGUAAGAAAAUCCUCACUAACUGAUCCCACUAAUUCAGAAUCCCUGUCAGUUUCAGUGUUGGCCAUGCUAAAGUUGCUUUUAUGCUAACCAUGAAAUAAAGAGUUUCUUAAGCAAAUGAACAGAGGAAAUAAUAUUGACUUCUGGCGGUCUCCCCAGCCAUAUAGCGGAUACACUGUCCUGUGUGUUUUGAGUGCCUCUGCAAACAGAUGCUGCUAAUUGCACAUGACUUUUCUUUUCACCAAAGAUGCUUUGCAGACUCUGCUGAAAAGCCUGCGGAAGAGUUUAUACGAGGAAGUACUGGUAAGAACUCUUGUGGUUUUCAGCCUCUUGUACCCUCUCCCCCAGGAGUGAGGCUGUGAAGAGUCCUCCUCAUCGCACCUCCCAUCCCCUUCGCUAGCAGGGGUGGGGAGGAAAGUGUUUAGAACCUGGGGGAGGAGAGUUUUCCCCAGACAGGGUUCAGUGGCUGAGGAUUCCUAAAUAGUGAGGAAUCAAACUCCCCUCCUCACACUGCCCCAGGCAGGGAGCAGUCAAACCUGGGCACAAGGACAGUGACGCCACCCAUUCUGUAUGAUCAGGUGGGCUUGGUCAAUAGGAUUAUCCAUGGUGAUCAUAGGGUCUACAGACCAGAUGGCUCUUCCUGAACUUGUUUCCUUUAAGACAUGAUCA